This 632-nucleotide small RNA is filed under the name Pan troglodytes (chimpanzee). Its description in RNAcentral is "processed transcript". The record is from RNAcentral. Lineage: Eukaryota; Metazoa; Chordata; Mammalia; Primates; Hominidae.
AAGGUAAAGCAUCAUUAAUGAAUGGAGAAGUCUUCUGAAGUGACACCAGUGCCUUAUCCCUAGAGGAAUAUCAGCAUAGAAAGCACAGUCAUGCCAACAGCGACUAGAUAGGGAAAUUUCCAACUUUCUCAAAAUGAUUAAGGAGUGUGACAUGGCUAAAGUUAUCAAGAGUUGACUAUAAAUAGCCUACAAGGCUGGGCGCUGUGGCUCACACCUGUAAUCCUGGCACUUUGGGAGGCCGAGGCGGUGGAUCAUCUGAGGUCAGGAGUUCAAGACCAGCAUGGUCAACAUGGUGAAACCCCAUUUCUACUAAAGAUACAAAAAUUAGCUGGGCGUGGUGGCACGUGCCUGUAACCAUCUACUCAAGAGGCUGAGGCAGGAGAAUUGCUUGAACCCGGAAGGUGGAUAUUGCAGUGACCCAAGAUUGCGCCACUGCACUCCAGCCUGGGCAACAGAGGGAGACUCUGUCUCAAAAAAAAAGAAAAAUAAAUAGCCUACAAAUCAAACUUAAGUAUUGAGAAAAAGAAAUGCUUCCAUCAUUUCUUCAGAAAGUUGAAGUUGUCUCAGAAGCUUCUAGAGAAACUUGUGUAGCUUUGACUGAUUGCCUUAAUCUCUUCACCAAACAAGAAGGG